RNAcentral lists this ribosomal RNA (1261 nucleotides) under Cronobacter dublinensis. RNAcentral's name for it is "bacterial LSU rRNA". It matches the Rfam family "Bacterial large subunit ribosomal RNA", at positions 1686 to 2925 of the family's 2925-position model. The record is from RNAcentral. Lineage: Bacteria; Pseudomonadati; Pseudomonadota; Gammaproteobacteria; Enterobacterales; Enterobacteriaceae.
GCGCUUGAGAGAACUCGGGUGAAGGAACUAGGCAAAAUGGUGCCGUAACUUCGGGAGAAGGCACGCUGACAUGUAGGUGAAGCCCCUGCGGGUGGAGCUGAAGUCAGUCGAAGAUACCAGCUGGCUGCAACUGUUUAUUAAAAACACAGCACUGUGCAAACACGAAAGUGGACGUAUACGGUGUGACGCCUGCCCGGUGCCGGAAGGUUAAUUGAUGGGGUUAUCGCAAGAGAAGCUCCUGAUCGAAGCCCCGGUAAACGGCGGCCGUAACUAUAACGGUCCUAAGGUAGCGAAAUUCCUUGUCGGGUAAGUUCCGACCUGCACGAAUGGCGUAAUGAUGGCCAGGCUGUCUCCACCCGAGACUCAGUGAAAUUGAACUCGCUGUGAAGAUGCAGUGUACCCGCGGCAAGACGGAAAGACCCCGUGAACCUUUACUACAGCUUGACACUGAACAUUGAGCCUUGAUGUGUAGGAUAGGUGGGAGGCUUUGAAGCGUGGACGCCAGUCUGCGUGGAGCCAACCUUGAAAUACCACCCUUUAAUGUUUGAUGUUCUAACCUGGCGCCAUAAUCUGGCGUGGGGACAGUGUCUGGUGGGUAGUUUGACUGGGGCGGUCUCCUCCCAAAGUGUAACGGAGGAGCACGAAGGUCAGCUAAUCCUGGUCGGACAUCAGGAGGUUAGUGCAAUGGCAUAAGCUGGCUUGACUGCGAGAGUGACGGCUCGAGCAGGUGCGAAAGCAGGUCAUAGUGAUCCGGUGGUUCUGUAUGGAAGGGCCAUCGCUCAACGGAUAAAAGGUACUCCGGGGAUAACAGGCUGAUACCGCCCAAGAGUUCAUAUCGACGGCGGUGUUUGGCACCUCGAUGUCGGCUCAUCACAUCCUGGGGCUGAAGUAGGUCCCAAGGGUAUGGCUGUUCGCCAUUUAAAGUGGUACGCGAGCUGGGUUUAGAACGUCGUGAGACAGUUCGGUCCCUAUCUGCCGUGGGCGCUGGAGAAUUGAGGGGGGCUGCUCCCAGUACGAGAGGACCGGAGUGGACGCAUCACUGGUGUUCGGGUUGUCAUGCCAAUGGCACUGCCCGGUAGCUAAAUGCGGAAGAGAUAAGUGCUGAAAGCAUCUAAGCACGAAACUUGCCCCGAGAUGAGUUCUCCCUGAGACUAUAAGUCUCCUGAAGGAACGUUGAAGACGACGACGUUGAUAGGCCGGGUGUGUAAGCGCAGCGAUGCGUUGAGCUAACCGGUACUAAUGAACCGUGAGGCUUAACCUU